UACAGAGACUGCAAGCGUUAUUCGGAUUCACUGGGCGUAAAGGGUGCGCAGGCGGCCGUGUGUGUCAGGUGUGAAAUCUCGGAGCUUAACUCCGAAACUGCAUUGGAAACUGUCCUGCUAGAGGGUUGGAGGGGGGACUGGAAUACUUGGUGUAGCAGUGAAAUGCGUAGAUAUCAAGUGGAACACCGGUGGCGAAGGCGAGUCCCUGGACAACACCUGACACUGAGGCACGAAAGCUAGGGGAGCAAACAGG
Molecule: ribosomal RNA, 253 nt
Filed under: uncultured bacterium
Lineage: Bacteria
Description: partial 16S ribosomal RNA
Rfam family: Bacterial small subunit ribosomal RNA
Source: RNAcentral